Molecule: ribosomal RNA, 490 nt
Filed under: uncultured bacterium
Lineage: Bacteria
Description: partial 16S ribosomal RNA
Rfam family: Bacterial small subunit ribosomal RNA
Source: RNAcentral
AUUGAACGCUGGCGGCAGGCCUAACACAUGCAAGUCGAACGGUAACAGGAAGAAGCUUGCUUCUUUGCUGACGAGUGGCGGACGGGUGAGUAAUGUCUGGGAAACUGCCUGAUGGAGGGGGAUAACUACUGGAAACGGUAGCUAAUACCGCAUAACGUCGCAAGACCAAAGAGGGGGACCUUCGGGCCUCUUGCCAUCGGAUGUGCCCAGAUGGGAUUAGCUAGUAGGUGGGGUAACGGCUCACCUAGGCGACGAUCGCUAGCUGGUCUGAGAGGAUGACCAGCCACACUGGAACUGAGACACGGUCCAGACUCCUACGGGAGGCAGCAGUGGGGAAUAUUACACAGUGGGCGCAAGCCUGAUGCAGCCAUGCCGCGUGUAUGAAGAAGGCCUUCGGGUUGUAAAGUACUUUCAGCGGGGAGGAAGGGAGUAAAGUUAAUACCUUUGCUCAUUGACGUUACCCGCAGAAGAAGCACCGGCUAACUCCGUG